Molecule: ribosomal RNA, 342 nt
Filed under: uncultured eukaryote
Lineage: Eukaryota
Description: partial 18S ribosomal RNA
Rfam family: Eukaryotic small subunit ribosomal RNA
Source: RNAcentral
CCCUUAGAUGUCCGGGGCCGCACGCGCGCUACAAUGGAAAAGGCAGCGUGUUUUACAUUUAUCCUGGGCCGAAAGGCUUGGGUAAUCCGCUGAAACUUUUUCGUGAUUGGGAUUGAGCUUUGUAAUUAUCGCUCAUGAACGAGGAAUUCCCAGUAAGCGCGAGUCAUCAGCUCGUGCUGAUUACGUCCCUGCCCUUUGUACACACCGCCCGUCGCUACUACCGAUUGGAUGAUCUAGUGAGACCUUCGGACUAGCCGACGACGCUGUCAGCUUCGGUUGCGGCUGCGUUCGGCCGGAAAGAUGUUCAAACUAGCUUAUCUAGAGGAAGUAAAAGUCGUAACA